UUUUUUACCUAUAUUUUUAAUAACUUCCUUGCUUCCACUUUUUUCCAUUAUUACACUUUUUCCAUUAUUCCCUUUGUUUCACUAUCCUUUAUUCCUUUUUUCUUUGUCCGUUAUUCUCUAUUCUGUUAAUUCACAUCCUUACCAUACCCUCUUAUGUGGACUUUCGGUGGUUUAUUUUUUAGUUCUGGUAUUAUGCAAUCAGUCAAUUUUUCAUAAAGUUUCAUGAAAUAAUGGUUUUAUGCAUAUCAGCCAAGAUUGUGCGUGAAAUUUUA
Molecule: long non-coding RNA, 272 nt
Filed under: Mytilus galloprovincialis (Mediterranean mussel)
Lineage: Eukaryota; Metazoa; Mollusca; Bivalvia; Mytilida; Mytilidae
Source: RNAcentral